This 1527-nucleotide ribosomal RNA is filed under the name Staphylococcus aureus. Its description in RNAcentral is "partial 16S ribosomal RNA". It matches the Rfam family "Bacterial small subunit ribosomal RNA". RNAcentral also lists the same sequence under 2 other names. Lineage: Bacteria; Bacillati; Bacillota; Bacilli; Caryophanales; Staphylococcaceae. The record is from RNAcentral.
GAUGAACGCUGGCGGCGUGCCUAAUACAUGCAAGUCGAGCGAACGGACGAGAAGCUUGCUUCUCUGAUGUUAGCGGCGGACGGGUGAGUAACACGUGGAUAACCUACCUAUAAGACUGGGAUAACUUCGGGAAACCGGAGCUAAUACCGGAUAAURUUUUGAACCGCAUGGUUCAAAAGUGAAAGACGGUCUUGCUGUCACUUAUAGAUGGAUCCGCGCUGCAUUAGCUAGUUGGUAAGGUAACGGCUUACCAAGGCAACGAUGCAUAGCCGACCUGAGAGGGUGAUCGGCCACACUGGAACUGAGACACGGUCCAGACUCCUACGGGAGGCAGCAGUAGGGAAUCUUCCGCAAUGGGCGAAAGCCUGACGGAGCAACGCCGCGUGAGUGAUGAAGGUCUUCGGAUCGUAAAACUCUGUUAUUAGGGAAGAACAUAUGUGUAAGUAACUGUGCACAUCUUGACGGUACCUAAUCAGAAAGCCACGGCUAACUACGUGCCAGCAGCCGCGGUAAUACGUAGGUGGCAAGCGUUAUCCGGAAUUAUUGGGCGUAAAGCGCGCGUAGGCGGUUUUUUAAGUCUGAUGUGAAAGCCCACGGCUCAACCGUGGAGGGUCAUUGGAAACUGGAAAACUUGAGUGCAGAAGAGGAAAGUGGAAUUCCAUGUGUAGCGGUGAAAUGCGCAGAGAUAUGGAGGAACACCAGUGGCGAAGGCGACUUUCUGGUCUGUAACUGACGCUGAUGUGCGAAAGCGUGGGGAUCAAACAGGAUUAGAUACCCUGGUAGUCCACGCCGUAAACGAUGAGUGCUAAGUGUUAGGGGGUUUCCGCCCCUUAGUGCUGCAGCUAACGCAUUAAGCACUCCGCCUGGGGAGUACGACCGCAAGGUUGAAACUCAAAGGAAUUGACGGGGACCCGCACAAGCGGUGGAGCAUGUGGUUUAAUUCGAAGCAACGCGAAGAACCUUACCAAAUCUUGACAUCCUUUGACAACUCUAGAGAUAGAGCCUUCCCCUUCGGGGGACAAAGUGACAGGUGGUGCAUGGUUGUCGUCAGCUCGUGUCGUGAGAUGUUGGGUUAAGUCCCGCAACGAGCGCAACCCUUAAGCUUAGUUGCCAUCAUUAAGUUGGGCACUCUAAGUUGACUGCCGGUGACAAACCGGAGGAAGGUGGGGAUGACGUCAAAUCAUCAUGCCCCUUAUGAUUUGGGCUACACACGUGCUACAAUGGACAAUACAAAGGGCAGCGAAACCGCGAGGUCAAGCAAAUCCCAUAAAGUUGUUCUCAGUUCGGAUUGUAGUCUGCAACUCGACUACAUGAAGCUGGAAUCGCUAGUAAUCGUAGAUCAGCAUGCUACGGUGAAUACGUUCCCGGGUCUUGUACACACCGCCCGUCACACCACGAGAGUUUGUAACACCCGAAGCCGGUGGAGUAACCUUUUAGGAGCUAGCCGUCGAAGGUGGGACAAAUGAUUGGGGUGAAGUCGUAACAAGGUAGCCGUAUCGGAAGGUGCGGCUGGAUCACCUCCUUUCU